CGACCGGCGCACGGGUGAGUAACGCGUAUGCAACCUGCCUGAUACCGGGGUAUAGCCCAUGGAAACGUGGAUUAACACCCCAUAGUACUUUUAUCCUGCAUGGGAUGUGAGUUAAAUGUUCAAGGUAUCGGAUGGGCAUGCGUCCUAUUAGUUAGUUGCGGGGUAACAGCCCACCAAGACGAUGAUAGGUAGGGGUUCUGAGAGGAAGGUCCCCCACAUUGGAACUGAGACACGGUCCAA
RNAcentral lists this ribosomal RNA (240 nucleotides) under uncultured bacterium. RNAcentral's name for it is "partial 16S ribosomal RNA". It matches the Rfam family "Bacterial small subunit ribosomal RNA", at positions 92 to 334 of the family's 1533-position model. The record is from RNAcentral.